This 561-nucleotide ribosomal RNA is filed under the name uncultured bacterium. RNAcentral's name for it is "partial 16S ribosomal RNA". It matches the Rfam family "Bacterial small subunit ribosomal RNA", at positions 355 to 907 of the family's 1533-position model. The record is from RNAcentral.
UGGGGAAUAUUGCACAAUGGGCGCAAGCCUGAUGCAGCCAUGCCGCGUGUGUGAAGAAGGCCUUCGGGUUGUAAAGCACUUUCAGCGAGGAGGAAGGUGGUGAGCUUAAUACGCUCAUCAAUUGACGUUACUCGCAGAAGAAGCACCGGCUAACUCCGUGCCAGCAGCCGCGGUAAUACGGAGGGUGCAAGCGUUAAUCGGAAUUACUGGGCGUAAAGCGCACGCAGGCGGUUUGUUAAGUCAGAUGUGAAAUCCCCGGGCUCAACCUGGGAACUGCAUUUGAAACUGGCAAGCUAGAGUCUCGUAGAGGGGGGUAGAAUUCCAGGUGUAGCGGUGAAAUGCGUAGAGAUCUGGAGGAAUACCGGUGGCGAAGGCGGCCCCCUGGACGAAGACUGACGCUCAGGUGCGAAAGCGUGGGGCAGCAAACAGGAUUAGAUACCCUGGUAGUCCACGCUGUAAACGAUGUCGAUUUUGGAGGUUGUGCCCUUGAGGCGUGGCUUCCGGAGCUAACGCGUUAAUCGACCGCCUGGGGAGUACGGCCGCAAGGUUAAAACUCAAAGG